RNAcentral lists this long non-coding RNA (964 nucleotides) under Lupinus angustifolius (narrow-leaved blue lupine). RNAcentral's name for it is "long non-coding RNA (LANG_LNC003282)". Lineage: Eukaryota; Viridiplantae; Streptophyta; Magnoliopsida; Fabales; Fabaceae. The record is from RNAcentral.
GCCAUCGCAACCAUUACCACCACUAGCUCCGCCUGCAAGCAAGAGAAGUGUUUCACAUGUAUGGUUUCAGCAAUAGUUACUCUUACCUAAAAUCAUAUAUGAGCUUUUAUUUUCUAUCUAAUUUUCUUACAAUUAAGUUAAAACAACUCAGUUAUAACUUCAUUUUAUACCAUAUAUAAAAACAUUAUGUGUUAAAUAUCAAUCAUAUCAUAUGUUGCUAAAAAUUGAGAUCAAUAUCCACCUCCAUAUUAUAAUUAAAAAAUAAACAAUAAAUCAAGUAGACAAUGUUUCAACUUUGAUUAUAUAUUAAUAUUAGUCACUAUUUUUAUGUUAUUUAUUGUUUGAACCUUAGGGUCUAUUUCCAUCUCCAAUAGCUGAACAUGGUUGGGGAAGUCCUGCACCACUUGCAAGUGAGUAUAGAACUUAUGCUGCUGGUCCAAGCUCUGUUGGCACUAAACCUUUUGGUUUCGGACCUGACUUUUGUGCUAGACCACCACCUCCUAAGGUCAUUUUUUUGUUUCAUUAUAAGAACGAGUAAGGAUCCUCUUCAAUACUAGAGAGACAAUUGCUACAAAAAAAAGCAAAAGACAAAUAUGCUAUAAUACAUUUAUCUCUUUAUUUACAAUGAAAUAAUAGUCUAAUCAUUGAAAACAAAAUGAGAAACAAAACUUGUAUCUAUAGUACGGGAGAGGAUCCUUAUCCUACAUCUCAAUCGUAUAAUUUGUUUUAUUUAGGGUUUGCAUUUAUUAUUUCCAUUUUGUACAUUUGAACUUGGUCCGUGACUGUUUUUUAUGUUGUGUAGGUUAACAUCAGAAUGAAUGAGUUUGUAGAAAACAGGCACAAGAUGCAGAUGGUGCAUGGCCAAAAAAGUGCUUUUCCCUCACCUAGUCGUGGGACUACUCAUGGGACUAGUCGUGGGACUGGUGUGUUUCAUCCUCUUUCGAGUGUUCAACUACAACCCAAC